RNAcentral lists this ribosomal RNA (484 nucleotides) under uncultured bacterium. RNAcentral's name for it is "partial 16S ribosomal RNA". It matches the Rfam family "Bacterial small subunit ribosomal RNA", at positions 29 to 507 of the family's 1533-position model. The record is from RNAcentral.
AUUGAACGCUGGCGGCAUGCUUUACACAUGCAAGUCGAACGGCAGCGCGGGCUUCGGCCUGGCGGCGAGUGGCGAACGGGUGAGUAAUGCAUCGGAACGUGCCCAGUAGUGGGGGAUAGCCCGGCGAAAGCCGGAUUAAUACCGCAUACGACCUGAGGGUGAAAGCGGGGGACCGAAAGGCCUCGCGCUAUUGGAGCGGCCGAUGUCGGAUUAGCUAGUUGGUGGGGUAAAGGCUUACCAAGGCGACGAUCCGUAGCUGGUCUGAGAGGACGACCAGCCACACUGGGACUGAGACACGGCCCAGACUCCUACGGGAGGCAGCAGUGGGGAAUUUUGGACAAAGGGGGCAACCCUGAUCCAGCCAUGCCGCGUGCGGAAAGAAGGCCUUCGGGUUGUAAACCGCUUUUGUUCGGGAAGAAAUCCUCUGGGCUAAUACCCCGGGGGGAUGACGGUACCGGAAGAAUAAGCACCGGCUAACUACGUG